UACGUAGGUGGCAAGCGUUGUCCGGAUUUAUUGGGUUUAAAGGGUGCGUAGGCGGUCUUCUAAGUCAGUGCUGAAAUAUCCCGGCUUAACCGGGAGGGUGGCAUUGAUACUGGGAGACUUGAGUAAAGUUGAGGUAGGCGGAAUUGACGGUGUAGCGGUGAAAUGCUUAGAUAUCGUCAAGAACACCAAUAGUGAAGACAGCUUACUAAACUUUAACUGACGCUGAGGCACGAAAGUGUGGGGAUCAAACAGG
RNAcentral lists this ribosomal RNA (253 nucleotides) under uncultured bacterium. RNAcentral's name for it is "partial 16S ribosomal RNA". It matches the Rfam family "Bacterial small subunit ribosomal RNA", at positions 524 to 776 of the family's 1533-position model. The record is from RNAcentral.